RNAcentral lists this long non-coding RNA (316 nucleotides) under Gallus gallus (chicken). The record is from RNAcentral. Lineage: Eukaryota; Metazoa; Chordata; Aves; Galliformes; Phasianidae.
CCAGCUGGAAAGCAUCAACAAAAGGAACCAGGGUAGCCAGGCGAGAAAAUUCAAUGCUUUGAUAAAUCUGGGCCACCUGCUGCAAAAGGCGAAGAAUGGUAUUGUUUUGCAGGUGAGGAACAUACAGCUGCAGUUCAGGUUCCUUUUCAGCUUGGUCUUUCACCCAGUUCAGUACCUUGCUAACACGGCUACAUAACUUGAGUGGGUGAAAGUCAACUUCAAGCCAAUUGUAGAGUUCCUUUACUUCUGGAACAACAUACUGUACUACGUUGAACCUCACCAUAUCAUUAAUGAGACUACCACGUGUAGGAGGGGC